Molecule: ribosomal RNA, 468 nt
Filed under: uncultured bacterium
Lineage: Bacteria
Description: partial 16S ribosomal RNA
Rfam family: Bacterial small subunit ribosomal RNA
Source: RNAcentral
GACGAACGCUGGCGGCGUGCUUAACACAUGCAAGUCGAACGGAAAGGCCCUGCUCUUGUGGGGUGCUCGAGUGGCGAACGGGUGAGUAACACGUGAGUAACCUGCCCUUGACUUUGGGAUAACUUCAGGAAACUGGGGCUAAUACCGGAUAGGAGCUCCUGCUGCAUGGUGGGGGUUGGAAAGUUUCGGCGGUUGGGGAUGGACUCGCGGCUUAUCAGCUUGUUGGUGGGGUAGUGGCUUACCAAGGCUUUGACGGGUAGCCGGCCUGAGAGGGUGACCGGCCACAUUGGGACUGCGAUACGGCCCAGACUCCUACGGGAGGCAGCAGUGGGGAAUAUUGCACAAUGGGCGGAAGCCUGAUGCAGCAACGCCGCGUGCGGGAUGACGGCCUUCGGGUUGUAAACCGCUUUCGCCUGUGACGAAGCGUGAGUGACGGUAAUGGGUAAAGAAGCACCGGCUAACUACGUG